GUUCUCUAUGUUAUGGUUUUCUCUCUUUUUAAUUAAGUUAUAAAUCAUGUUUCUAAUUCUAAAAUUGAAUCUAUUUUAGUUAAAUUUGCCUAUUUUAUUAGUUUAUUGAAUUUGUGAGUUAGAAUUUGUGGUUUUAGGGUUUAGAGGAGCAAAUCAGUUUACCAAUUUUUUUUGGAAAAGGCUCUUGCAGAGGCAGGUCUUUCGGUUGAAAAUAUACAUGCCGUUGAGUUGGUAGGCUCCGUAGUUAUUUCUUUAUUCUGUGAAAUCAGCAAUUUAAUCCUGCAUUUCCCAAAAACAUAAUUGAUCAAGCACAUAAUGCAUUUGCGAUUCUGUUCAUAAUACAUGGCUGAUUUCAUUGGAAAUAUAACAAACUACCGCGAAACAAAUUGCUUCUAGUAAGCAUCUCCUUGUAACAAAAUGUUCCAUGAUAUUCAUGCCUGAUGCCUGCUGCCUGCUGAUAAAUAGUACAUGCAUUCUAUAUAUGUAUUUGAUACACUUCACAUUUAAGCAAUUAUUUUCUAUACCUCGCCGCUUGACAAGAUGUAUUGCCUCUCUUUAGCAGCAUACUACAUGUUUUUCAACCAAUGUAAAGUAUUUUAUUUCCUCCUUAUCCUGUUUCUAUCUUUGUACUCCAUCUUUAUCCAGUCAAAACAUGUUAAAACUUUGCAGCAGUCUGCUUCAUCCAAUAGGCCGGGUGAAGAGAAUUUGUAUAAUCUACUUCUUCCACAAACACUCCCUAAUCAUUCUUUCUACACAUUGUUGCUAGAAAAUCUUAAUAAUAUCACACAUAGAUACCGGUAGAAUCUUCAGGAACUUUUUUGUUCAUUCUUGUAAUUAGACAUAAUUUAUUCGCGACAUUGACAUAUUCAAAAUAACCCGAUAAAAGGGAUAAUCUGCCAUACCGUAGAGGAAAAUCUUCUCUAAACAAUCUUGAAAAGAGGCUAAAUGGGAAAGAAAAAUAAAUGUUGCAAAGUAUGCAACUACUUUACAGACAUGAUCUUUGUCCUCCAUUUUGGGUGAAGUAUAACUACCUACUUCUAGGAUAUUCCGCAUGUCAAUCAAACAACCUCCUUACACUUUACUUCCUAGGAAAUGAGACUUAGCAUAUCAAGCAAACAACACCUAAGGUUUUGAACAUGUUAGUGGAUGACUACCCUUCUUUGGAAUGUGCUUUAAGCUGUAGUAGAAGAAGAUUGUAUUCAGAGUAACCGUAUUCCUUCCCAAAGCUAGCAAAACUUAGUUUUAUCUGUUUUCCAAAAAAAAAGUCUUGCUAACUCUCACAACUCUGGAAUUAUACACAACCAAAUAAGAGUAACAAGAAAACUAUAACUAACACAUGUUGCACAUUAUCCAAUUUCUUCAUUCACAUAAAAUAACAUAAAAAUUCUGUGAAGGUCGUCGACUAAAGAUGACUAAUAGAAUACAUAAGAUUUGAUCCGUUAGAUUUAGUUAUAAAAUCUGAACCGUUCAAAUAAGAAAAAAGAAAAAUAUAUUCUAAAGGGGUUGUUUGCCUACUAUUCUAAAUUUCUAGAAGGGUAAAACUUUUAAUCUUGUUUAAUUGUUACCCUUUGAUUUUCCGGCCAUUGCUAUCAAGUACUCCAAGAAUUUGCAAUACCCUAAGAAAACCUACAGCCGCCCUCUCAUCAAUCUCUCACCUUAAUACGAAACCCUUAAUCCAAAAUUGACAAUUCAUAGCUAGUUCUCUUAAAAAUUCUUCAAUUGUUUUCCUUAAAUUGGAUUCACUCAAUUAAUCCAACCAACUUGGGCUUCUUUACGAAAAAGGAUUGAAGCUGAUUUAAAUGGGGAUUGUUGAUUUAUCAAAUUUCAACGAAAACGAACUGAAUUGAGUUUGCAGAUAGUGUCAGAAAGCAUAAGACCAACAACCCUUAAAUUGAGGUCAUCGCUCAUCAGUCAUCGGUCCUUUUUCAAUAUCUCUACAGUACUAGAGCUAAGCGUUCAAAGUGACAAGGGAAAAGCGGAAUUAAGUGGGAAAACAUAGGUUCGUUCGUGUUGACCUAACCGAAGAUAUGACACUAAAACAACUUGACAUUAUGACUUUCAGGUUCCUGCCCUUGACCAUCAGUCCUUUUUCGAAUGAUACUCUUUCGGUCAAGAUAGAACUUUUGGUGUUCAUAUUUUUGCUGUAAGAACCAUUUUCCCAUCAGUGCACACAAACUGUUGGAUGAAAUUCCCGUUAGAAGUGAGCCUCUAGCAGUGGUUAUUGUUUAAGAAAAAUGGUUUCAUGGGGAAGUAGAUUGAUCUUCUUAUUAAGCAGGACAACACUUCGAAAGUAUGGAAGGGUGUUCUUUAGAGAGUUAAAUGUUGGAACUGAUGUGAGCAAGUAUGAAUUAUGUACAACACUUCAUUCUUGUACAAAGGUUCGAGAUUGUCAACUGGGUAUGCAAACUCAUGCCAAGAUAAUUCAGUAUGGUCAUGGAGAUAAUUUAAUCUUGAGCAGCGCCCUUGUUGAUUUUUAUUCGAAAUGUUGUGGGAUUGAGGAAGCUAGGCGCAUAUUUGAUGGGAUGAAGCAGCAUGAUCAAGUGUCGUGGACAUCGAUUAUAUCGGGGUAUUCACAAUAUGAUGGUGGAGUUGAAGCCAACUUGUUGUUCAAGAAGAUGUUAACAAGUGAUACUGAACCUAAUUGCUAUACUUAUGUUAGUGUUAUUGCUGCAUGUUCUGGAGGGAAAGAACCUCUUAAACAAGGCUUACUGAUUCAUGCUCAUGUUAUCAAGCUUGGAUACGCGGGUGAAAGUUUCAUGGUUAGCUCUUUGAUUGAUUAUUACUCAAAGUGUGGGAGUGUUGGUGCUGCUACUUUGAUUUUUCAUGAAGCCGCAACUAGGGAUAAUAUUGUGUAUAACUCAAUGAUUGCUUGUCAUUGCCAUAACCUUUACGUGGAAAAUGCUGUUAGAUUGUUUUUACAUAUGAGAAAUCAGGGUAUUAGUUCUACUGAUUUCACAAUGAGCAGCAUUUUGCAUGCAUCUGGGAGGCUAUCAGUUAUCCAAGUUGGGAGGCAGGUGCAUGGCUUGGUAAUGAAAUUUGGUUUCUUGACCAAUCUGUUUGUUUUGAGCUCUCUGAUCGACAUGUACUCAAAAAGCGGUAGCAUUGAUGAAGCUCGUUAUGUUUUCGAUCAAACAACCGAGAAGAACAAUGUUUUGUGGACAUCUAUGGUUUCAGGGUAUGCGCAGAGUGGAAGACCAACAGAGGCACUAGAUCUGUUUGAUCAUAUGGUAGGCAAAGGCUUUUUGCCUGAUCAUAUUUGCUUUACUGCUGUCUUAAGUGCUUGUAAUCACGCGGGCUUACUUGACAGAGCUGUAGAACACUUCAACAAGAUGAUAAAGGAUUAUGAUCUGUCUCCUACAUUAGACCAAUAUUCUUGUUUGAUUGACUUGUAUGCAAGACAAGGGUACUUAACAAAGGCGAUCCAGCUGAUGGAAGAGAUGCCUUUUGAUCCCAACCAUGUCACAUUGAGUUCACUCUUGAGUUGCUGCAGAACAUAUGGUGCUGUUGAAUUGGGUAGAGAGGUUGCUAACCGGCUAUUGGCUCUGCAGCCACAUAAUUCCGCUGCUUACUUAACAAUGGCUCGUAUGUAUUCUGAAGCUGGCUUAUGGGACGAGGCUGCCAAUAUCAGAAAAUUGAUGAAGCCGAAAGGAGUUGAAAAGUGUGCAGCAUGGAGUUGGGUUGAAGUAGACAAAGAGUUGAGUUAUUCUUAGUAGGUUCAGCGUGCCAUCAUACAUGUCUCAAUUUUUUUGUCUUGUCAGAGCACCUUAACUUGAUGCAUCUGAAAUGUACGUGAGCCAAUGAUGGUGUACAACAUUGUUCUUGCAAGGGAAGUGCAAGGGGCAAGGGGCAAGUAUGCAUGUAAUACGGAGUACUUGAGAUGUAUCAAGGUUUCUAAGUUUUUGGACCUUCAUAAGUCUCCCUGAAAGGAAUGGAUUGAGGAUUUCGGAUGCUAAUGCGAGCACACUAGAAUAGAAGUUGGAUGGAUGAGAUCAGAAAUCCCUGGAAUGCGUGGAAUGAAAAACAGGAUGUUUUCUAGAAAGAAACCUGGAGCAUUAGAUGAAUGAUAUGAGUAGAAUAUAACAAUUCGGAAUCUUAUAAACCAUGGGUGCUGGUCUAUCAGGAGUUUUGCAAGCAUAAGCACUCGAUGCAGCCUUCAGAGGGGAAGGAAUAUUCAUUAAAGGUUGAUGUCAUUAGCGGGAAUCUGUGGUUCUUGGUUAAGUGUCUUUGAAAUGGAGAGAAGGGAGCCUUGAUAGUGUGCUGAGAUGUUCUAUGUUUACGAGUUCCGUGAUCUGGUAUGCUCGUCAAAGAGACAUGUUGAUGGAUCACUAGCAUUCUAGGACUACAACAUAGAGCUGGAGGAUCACAGAGGGCAGAAGGUUAAACUGGAUUCUGAGUCUGAGCAAAGGUUAAAUUUGGCAGAGCAAUAAUGAUGGGUCUGCAUAUAAAAAGGGGAAAAAACUAAUGAGAAAGAAAGAGUACAAAUUAGAGGUGCUUCUAAUGGGAGAGGAGGUCUUUCUCUCUUGAUACGAAAUUCAUAGAGUGCAUUGAUAAUAUUACGAUCUUUCAAUUUGACAUGGUGUGGUGCUGUUUUAUGCUCUGUGACAUCAACUUUCUUUCAAUUUAAAGAGCAUCUUGCGAAAUCUAGAAGAGUUAUUGAACAUACUCAUGGAAAAUUUGUCUCUCGUGCAAGAGAGCUUAACAACAGCCAUAGCCUAGAUAUGUCAUUAUAUUUGAGGUUGGAGCUAUUGGAAGGUGUGGCAGCAUUUCACUGUGGCAAAUUCGGCAAAUGCAGAGAAGCUUUGGCAGAUGAUUCGAUAAGUUUCUGGCCACCCAUCAUAGAGUUUCAAUUGAAAGGUCUCGUAUGGGAUAUCAAUUUUUCGACCAAUGGGAAGUUGACUUAUGAAAGUUCACCACUUAACCUGCAACUCAGCUUAGGAAACAGCUUCAUGCAACUAGUAUUGAGGCUUUAAUUUCAGAACUGCAAGAGUGUUGAUCGCAAAUUAUGUACAGACCAAACAACGAAAAAACGGGGGCACGAAAAUGGC
Spinacia oleracea (spinach) is the source of this 5045-nucleotide RNA transcript. RefSeq lists it as uncharacterized. The record is from RefSeq and is a predicted model, not a curated record. The transcript has 13 exons. NCBI's taxonomy places the organism in Eukaryota, Viridiplantae, Streptophyta, Magnoliopsida, Caryophyllales, Amaranthaceae.